Molecule: small nuclear RNA, 274 nt
Filed under: Myotis brandtii (Brandt's bat)
Lineage: Eukaryota; Metazoa; Chordata; Mammalia; Chiroptera; Vespertilionidae
Description: 7SK RNA
Rfam family: 7SK RNA
About the family: 7SK was discovered as an abundant small nuclear RNA in the mid-70s but a possible function has only recently been suggested.
Source: Rfam by way of RNAcentral
AAAUGACCAGGCUGUGACAUGUCACCCCAUUGAUCAGUAGGGUUGAUUCGGCUGAUCUGGCUAGCUAGGCAUGGGUGUCUCCUUCCUCCCUCACCACUCCAAGUGUCUCUCCCGAAGCUGUCCGGGUUUAACCAGUUUUUCUGUCAAGGGGUAUACAAGUAAUUGCUCGCCUGCUAGAGCCUCCAAACAAAGCUCUCAAGAUCCAUUUGUAGGAGAACUGGAUAUCAAGCUUACAAGACUCCAGACACAUCCAAAUGAGGCAAUGCCUUUCUUU